CGAUGUGAGGGUAAUCUGCCUGUGACAUCUCUCACGCCAUUGAUUGCCAGAAUUGAUUCAGCUGAUCUGGCUGGCUAGGCAGGUGUCCCCUUCCUCCCUCACCGCUCCAUGUGUGUCCCUCCAUAAGCUACAGCUGCGAGCUCAGUGGAAGAGGAUGACCUUCCCCUAUAAUAAAGGAGGGCCAUUCUUUGGUUAAGGGGACACAAGUAUCUGCCCUCUCCUGCUAGGACCUCCAAGCAAGCUCUCAAGUAUAAUCUUUUUUUUUUAAAUGUUUGUUUAUUUAUUUAUUUUUGAGAGAGAGGGAGUGAGCACAAGUGGGGAA
RNAcentral lists this small nuclear RNA (322 nucleotides) under Panthera pardus (leopard). Its description in RNAcentral is "7SK RNA (ENSPPRG00000018387.1)". It matches the Rfam family "7SK RNA". Rfam says of the family: 7SK was discovered as an abundant small nuclear RNA in the mid-70s but a possible function has only recently been suggested. Two independent studies have found that 7SK RNA binds the CDK9/cyclin T complex (known as elongation factor P-TEFb). The record is from RNAcentral. Lineage: Eukaryota; Metazoa; Chordata; Mammalia; Carnivora; Felidae.